GUGGCUCCCACCUCCUGUAACAGCAACUCCAUGUGGAAGUGCCCACUGGUUCCAGUGGGGCUGCUGUUAUCUGGGGUGGAGGCUGG
MicroRNA precursor from Microtus ochrogaster (prairie vole), 86 nucleotides. Ensembl annotates it as microRNA 194-2. Its record names the gene Mir194-2. NCBI's taxonomy places the organism in Eukaryota, Metazoa, Chordata, Mammalia, Rodentia, Cricetidae. The record is from Ensembl.